GGGCCUGUAGCUCAGGGGAUAGAGCACUGGUUUCCGGUGCCAGGUGGCGGAGGUUCGAAUCCUUCCAGGCCCG
Molecule: transfer RNA, 73 nt
Filed under: Rubrobacter radiotolerans
Lineage: Bacteria; Bacillati; Actinomycetota; Rubrobacteria; Rubrobacterales; Rubrobacteraceae
Also listed under: 5 other names
Description: tRNA-Arg (CCG) (tRNA-Arg-CCG-1-1)
Rfam family: tRNA
About the family: Transfer RNA (tRNA) molecules are approximately 80 nucleotides in length. Their secondary structure includes four short double-helical elements and three loops (D, anti-codon, and T loops).
Source: Rfam by way of RNAcentral